GCGGCCUAUCAGCUUGUUGGUGAGGUAACGGCUCAGCAAGGGGAGGACGGGUAGCCGGCGAGAGAGGGUGAACGGCCACACUGGGAGACAGAUACGGCCCAGAUUCGUACGGGAGGCAGCAGUGAUGAAUCAUUCACAAUGGGCGAAAGCCUGAUGAUGCAACGCCGGGGGGAGGAUGAAGGCCUUUGGGUUGUAAACUCCUGUCAGGGAUUAGGAAUCUGACCAAUCCCAGAGGAAGCACCGGCUAAAUUCGUGCCAGCAGCCGCGGUAAUACGAAUGGUGCGAGCGUUGUUCGGAAUUACUGGGCAUAAAGGGUCCGUAGGCGGCCGCAUAAGUCACCUGUGAAAGCCCCCGGCUCAACCGGGGAAUUGCAGAUGAUACUGGUCGGCUUGAGGUUGUGAGGGGUGAGCGGAAUUCCAGGUGUAGCGGUGAAAUGCGUAGAUAUGGGGGAGACCGCCGACGGGGAAGGCAGUUCACUGGCCCAUACCGGACGUUGAGGGAGGAAAGCGUGGGGAGCAACCAGGAUUAGAUACCUGGGUAGUCCACCCGGUAAACGAUGGGCAUUAGACAGUGGACGGUUCUGACCCGUUCAUGUCGGAGCAAAUGCGGUAAGUGCCCCGCCUGGGGAGUACGG
Molecule: ribosomal RNA, 634 nt
Filed under: uncultured actinomycete
Lineage: Bacteria; Bacillati; Actinomycetota; Actinomycetes; Actinomycetales
Description: bacterial SSU rRNA
Rfam family: Bacterial small subunit ribosomal RNA
Source: RNAcentral